RNAcentral lists this transfer RNA (86 nucleotides) under archaeon GW2011_AR15. Its description in RNAcentral is "tRNA-Leu". It matches the Rfam family "tRNA". From Rfam's summary of the family: Transfer RNA (tRNA) molecules are approximately 80 nucleotides in length. Their secondary structure includes four short double-helical elements and three loops (D, anti-codon, and T loops). RNAcentral also lists the same sequence under 1 other name. The record is from RNAcentral.
GCGGGAGUAGGAAAGCAUGGUCAAAUCCGCAGGACUUAAGAUCCUGUCUCUUAGUGAGUUCGCCGGUUCAAAUCCGGUCUCCCGCA